ACCUACGGGAGGCAGCAGUGGGGGAUAUUGCACAAUGGGGGAAACCCUGAUGCAGCGACGCCGCGUGAGUGAAGAAGUAUUUCGGUAUGUAAAGCUCUAUCAGCAGGGAAGAAAAUGACAGUACCUGACCAAGAAGCCCCGGCUAACUAUGUGCCAGCAGCCGCGGUAAUACGUAGGGCGCAAGCGUUAUCCGGAUUUACUGGGUGUAAAGGGAGCGUAGACGGUUAUGUAAGUCUGGAGUGAGAGCCCGUGGCCCAACCCCGGGACUGCUUUGGUAA
Molecule: ribosomal RNA, 278 nt
Filed under: uncultured bacterium
Lineage: Bacteria
Description: partial 16S ribosomal RNA
Rfam family: Bacterial small subunit ribosomal RNA
Source: RNAcentral